GACUGCUUUUGUUUUGCUGGGGAGGGGAUUGGAUGGGGUUGACCGAGAUAGGCGAAAACGGCGGAGGGAAGGGGGGCUCCUCGCCGGUGAUUAGAGGCAGGACCGGCUGGGCAAAGAUGGCGCGCGGCGAGCCUCCCGCAAGCAGCGCUUGUAGGCGGGAUGCGUGCUUCACUGGGACGGUUGUAGGGGGAGAGAUGUAGGUCCGGAGAGGAGCUCGGCGGACCUCUCCCGUCGUGCUCGCCAUCAGCAAGCGCACGUCGGUGGCGGAGCUUAUAGUCGCCGGUGCAGGUCAGGUGAAAGGUAUUUCGUCUCCCUACUGCCCUUCCUUUGUCCAAUUUUUUCCCUACGUGUUCUAUCUCCUUGCGGCCGAUUUCAGUUCAUUGUCUUGGUCGCUGGUCACAGAUCUACGUCGCAGGGGGUGGUUUAGUUCGUGGUCCAAGAUAGGGAGGAUUGUUUUGUUUAUCUGCUGGGCGGCGCUAGCAAUUUCAUGUGUUAGUGUGGUGUCACAGACUCAUGCUCCGGAGGGUGUGGUGUCACAGACUCAUGCUCCGGAGGGUGUGGUGUCACAGACUGAUGCGCUUUCAGUAGUUCAGCGGAAAAGAAAUGGAAAGUCACUUUUUGUCAAGUUUUGAGUUUAUUUAUAUCCUUAGGGAAAAUCUGCCACUAGUACUAGUUUUUACACAUGUGCUCUUUUGUAAAGAAAUGGUAAUUCACAUUCAGUCAUGUUUUGAGUUGUCAACAUUUCCUAGGUAAAAUCUUUUUUCAGUUUUUCUUCUCAGUAUUUCAACCAAUUAAGAUGUUUAUGUCAUUUCAAAGUUUCAGCUUUUUAUGCUUUUUUCCCCUACAAUUUUCAGUAUGCAGGGGGAGGGGUUGGGGGGAGGGGCGUACCUUAGUUGACCCCUCACACGGUGGCUCCAAGUCGUCAUGAUGUGGAUCGCUAGGAGCAUCACACCCAGCUUAGUUGGGUAUUUCUAUAGUUCUUAGUCUCCAUGUGUUUUCAAUUUUUCUCCCAGUGUUGGUUUAGUUUGAAUUCUCAGUUUCACACUUCUUACUAUCAUUCUUAGAAUUUUAGGAUCAGUUUUUACAAUUUUAGUCCUUAGUCCUCUGUACAAGUGUCAGACCUUCAGUUAAAUUGUUCGAUGUUCAUUAUUUCAUUUUCAGUGUUAGUAUUCAUUUUUUAGUACAAGUGCUCAGUCGGUUAUCAGACCUUCAGUUAAAUUGUUGAAUGUUCAUUAUUUCAUUUUCAGUGUUAUUAUUCAUUUUUUAGUAUAAGUGCUCAGUCGGUUAUCAGACCUUCAGUUUUUUAGCAUUUCUCCAUUGUUUAGUAUAAGUGUUCAGACCUUCAUUGUUUUAUUUUUAUUAUCAUUUCAGUUAAUUAGUUUGUUUUUCUUAUUUCUUCAUUUUAUCAUUCAGGGACCUUAGUUUCUUUCAUCAGUGAUGGUUAGGUAGGUUAGUUAUCAUAGGAAGUUCAGUUCCGUCAGUUAUCAUAUCAUUGUUUCUCUUACUUUUGUUUUUCUGAGUCUUCGCAUUCUUCAUUCAUAUCAAAUUAUUAUUUUUUCAGUCAUUUCUCAGUCUUGUGUUUCUGUUAUCAGUGUCUCAUUUCUCUUGUCAUUCAAAUUUUCUUUGUGUGCUAGUUGUUUUCAGUCUUGAGACGUUGUAUGGGUGGAAUUAGUCCUUCAUUUUUUGUUUUCCACUCUUACUAAUUUUUUUUAGUUAUCUUUGCCUUUCAUCCCUUAGUCUUCAGUUAUCAUUCCAGCCGUAUAUUUAAUUAUUCUUCAGUUCCAACCGUGUUCAUUAUCUUGAUACUGAUCAUUCUUUUGUUGUUAGAUAACUAAUCUUUAGUGCAACCCCUUCAGUCCCUUUUUAGUCAUUCUUUCUUUUGGUGAAGUAAAAAUGACAUGAUCAACUUUUUCUAUGACCUUAGUUUGUCCCCAGUCAUCUUCAUCAUAACUUUUCUAUUCUUUAAACAUUUGAUUUAGCAUCAGUUUUGUCUAUGACCUUAGUUUUGCCAUCUUCAUUAUUCUAUCUACACAACUUGCUCAUUUUUUAUUUCUUCCUGCUUUUUGGUUAGUUUCAGAAGUGAUAUUAGCUGCCAAGUUGCCAUCCUGUAGAUGCCCUUUUCUUUUGUUGUCCUUUAUCAGUAUCUGUGUUCUUAUGAUUAACACAAUAUCUUGUCUGAUAACCAAAAAUAGGUGGAACAUAAAUAGGAAUUUUAAUUUACAUCACUUGUAAUAUAUGAGAGCAAAGCAUGCCUUCUCUUAGGUAUUCACUAACAUUCUCAUUUCCAUUUGAUUCACUUCAUUAACAUUUUCAGCCUUGUGUUUAUUUUUAUCUUUUGACCAUGCAUCUAGCAUUCUGCAGUUUUGCAUGGGCAGACAUAGGUAGUAAUACAACAUCUAGCAUUGCAUUUUGCAUAAUUCUGAAAUUUUGUGUCUUCUAUUUUUCUUUUCCUUUUUACUUCUCUAUUUUUUUGGACGGAUGACAAACAACUAUAAAUUACCUUUUAAGGUAGCUUCCAGCUUGAUGACCACCCCGACGGCAGGCAUGACUGGACUACACCUUGUGGGAGUGAUUUAAGCACCGCAGCAUACAAGACAGUAGCAGAUGGUCGUUUCGCUUUCAACAAGGAUGGCCGGGAGGAAAUCCUGGAGGAGAACUACCUAGCGGUUGGGAGAGCGGCGGUAAUCACCAUCAGGAACAACGCACUGGACGAAUUGAACAUGAUGGUUGUCUUGAACCAGAUCGAAUUAUGAGAUUGUCGGGGAAUAAAGGUUGUUUUGAGUUACUGCAGUUUGUUAUGCUGUCAGUUAUCCGUGUCCCGCCGGCCAACUGACGAACUGUGAUUUGUUUUUUUUAUCAGUGGUAUGCACCGUCAAGGACUAUGUAAUAUAGUCUGAAAACUUCUUAUGCCUUUUUGUGUGGCACUUGAUUAUUAAGUGAUUAGUAACCAUAUUUCUCUCUUUUAUUUUAUUUUUAAGUUCUUAGUCACUUCUCUUCUGCUAUGGCCAUAGUUUGUAUUUCUUUUAGAGUUUUGGACAGAGCAUUUUCAAUGUUUGGGGAGUACCCUUUGAAUUCUCUGAAAUUCAGUAAUUUGAGUUGAGAUAAUUUAUCAAUGUUGUUCAUUCUAUAAGUUUUAGCCUGCUCAACAAGCAGACUUUCAAGC
Molecule: ribosomal RNA, 3163 nt
Filed under: Triticum aestivum (bread wheat)
Lineage: Eukaryota; Viridiplantae; Streptophyta; Magnoliopsida; Poales; Poaceae
Description: partial small subunit ribosomal RNA
Source: RNAcentral